GAAUGUAAGGGUGAUCUGGCUGCGACAUCUGUCACCUCAUAGAUCUCCAAGGUUGAUGGGGCUGACCUGGCUGGUUAGGCGGGGUUCCCUUCCUCCCUCACCGCUUCAUGUGUGUCCCUCCUGAAGCAAAGCUGCAAGCUGCGUGCUGGGUCGAAAAGGACGACCUUCCCCAAAUAGAGGAGGACUGGUCUUAGGUCAAGGGUACACGAGUAGUUGCACACCCCUGCUAGAACCUCCACACAAGCUCUCAAGAAAACAUGUUCCCUGCCUUUUAAAAAAAAAUUAACCUCUCAGACUUUCAUCAUUUCCUGUGGAGCAUCCAUUGUGUAUCCCUGGCUUCUUCA
Non-coding RNA from Cricetulus griseus (Chinese hamster), 344 nucleotides. Lineage: Eukaryota; Metazoa; Chordata; Mammalia; Rodentia; Cricetidae. The record is from Rfam.